RNAcentral lists this ribosomal RNA (910 nucleotides) under Blastococcus xanthinilyticus. RNAcentral's name for it is "bacterial SSU rRNA". It matches the Rfam family "Bacterial small subunit ribosomal RNA", at positions 516 to 1425 of the family's 1533-position model. Lineage: Bacteria; Bacillati; Actinomycetota; Actinomycetes; Geodermatophilales; Geodermatophilaceae. The record is from RNAcentral.
CGCGGUAAUACGUAGGGUGCAAGCGUUGUCCGGAAUUAUUGGGCGUAAAGAGCUCGUAGGCGGUUCGUCGCGUCGGCUGUGAAAACCUGAGGCUCAACCUCAGGCCUGCAGUCGAUACGGGCGGACUUGAGUUCGGCAGGGGAGACUGGAAUUCCUGGUGUAGCGGUGAAAUGCGCAGAUAUCAGGAGGAACACCGGUGGCGAAGGCGGGUCUCUGGGCCGAAACUGACGCUGAGGAGCGAAAGCGUGGGGAGCGAACAGGAUUAGAUACCCUGGUAGUCCACGCCGUAAACGUUGGGCGCUAGGUGUGGGGGCCAUUCCACGGUCUCCGUGCCGCAGCUAACGCAUUAAGCGCCCCGCCUGGGGAGUACGGCCGCAAGGCUAAAACUCAAAGGAAUUGACGGGGGCCCGCACAAGCGGCGGAGCAUGUUGCUUAAUUCGAUGCAACGCGAAGAACCUUACCUAGGCUUGACAUGCACGGAAAUCCUCCAGAGAUGGGGGGUCCGUAAGGGCCGUGCACAGGUGGUGCAUGGUUGUCGUCAGCUCGUGUCGUGAGAUGUUGGGUUAAGUCCCGCAACGAGCGCAACCCUCGUCCUAUGUUGCCAGCGAGUCAUGUCGGGGACUCAUAGGAGACUGCCGGGGUCAACUCGGAGGAAGGUGGGGAUGACGUCAAAUCAUCAUGCCCCUUAUGUCUAGGGCUGCAAACAUGCUACAAUGGCCGGUACAAAGGGCUGCGAUACCGCGAGGUGGAGCGAAUCCCAAAAAGCCGGUCUCAGUUCGGAUUGGGGUCUGCAACUCGACCCCAUGAAGUUGGAGUCGCUAGUAAUCGCAGAUCAGCAACGCUGCGGUGAAUACGUUCCCGGGCCUUGUACACACCGCCCGUCACGUCACGAAAGUCGGUAACGCCCGAA